GACGAACGCUGGCGGCGUGCUUAACACAUGCAAGUCGAACGGAAAGGCCCUGCUUUUGUGGGGUGCUCGAGUGGCGAACGGGUGAGUAACACGUGAGUAACCUGCCCUUGACUUUGGGAUAACUUCAGGAAACUGGGUCUAAUACCGGAUAGGAGCUCCUGCUGCAUGGUGGGGGUUGGAAAGUUUCGGCGGUUGGGGAUGGACUCGCGGCUUAUCAGCUUGUUGGUGGGGUAGUGGCUUACCAAGGCUUUGACGGGUAGCCGGCCUGAGAGGGUGACCGGCCAAAUUGGGACUGAGAUACGGCACAGACUCGUACGGGAGGCAGCAGUGGGGAAUAUUGCACAAUGGGCGGAAGCCUGAUGCAGCAACGCCGCGUGCGGGAUGACGGCCUUCGGGUUGUAAACCGAUUUCGCCUGUGACGAAGCGUGAGUGACGGUAAUGGGUAAAGAAGCACCGGCUAACUACGUG
RNAcentral lists this ribosomal RNA (468 nucleotides) under uncultured bacterium. RNAcentral's name for it is "partial 16S ribosomal RNA". It matches the Rfam family "Bacterial small subunit ribosomal RNA", at positions 28 to 507 of the family's 1533-position model. The record is from RNAcentral.